RNAcentral lists this ribosomal RNA (309 nucleotides) under uncultured eukaryote. RNAcentral describes it as "partial large subunit ribosomal RNA". The record is from RNAcentral.
CACGGUCGCGACACCCAUUCCCAUCAGCACCAGCGUCCAGAUCGUCACCACGUCGAGCGAUGUCGCCAGCGAGUAGAGUGCCUUGUUCGUCUCAACAGGAUCGAGAAAUGCGCCCAGGUUCGUCGGAGCAAAGUUCUUGAUGUUGAAUGACUCCGGCGCCAUCCCGGCAUAAAUCACAAUCGUCCCCAACAGCGCCUUUAGACUUGCCGGCAGCCACGCGUAGUACGAAACUGCAAAGAUGCUCCCGUACUUCGACUUGCCACCGAAUACAAAGUUGAUGGUGCCCCAGAGACCGAUAGCGCACAAGUA